UUACGGCCUAACCACUGGUGACUAAGCAAAUAUCACCCACCACAAAAAAGCAGGUAUCACAUCCAUAUGAUGCAUUAGCUAUCUUCCCAACAUUAUUGCUCCAAGUAAUAUUAACAUCAGAUGGCGUAAAGGUUCAUUUCAGAAAGGAACAUUUAAAAAAAUAGAGUUGCACUGCUGCUUCAAUUGCCUGCACAGUAUCCCAUGAGAUCCACAAUCAACUACACGAGUGAACACAGCAUUCUUCCAUGCCAGCAUGACUCUGCUAAUUCAACAGAAAUCAAUACUGUGAAUAUCCCAGUCAUUGCUAUAGGAUUUGGUAGUUAACCAACCCCCGGGAGUGCGCACACCCUCCCCCUCCCCAAAUUUAGAAUACUACUACUGCCAAAAGUGACUUGGAACAAUCCUCUUAUCAUUGACUAUACACAGCAAUUAUAUCAUUCAGAAAUAACUCUUUAUGGUUUUAAUUUUACUAUUCAGAAGUCUCAAUUAAAUUAAAUGUUCAUGUGUUCCUGUCGCAUUCCUGAGUUUGCUACAAACAGGCAUGAGAUUCAUUAUGCAGAACUGAGAUCCUGUGCACAUUGUCCCACAAAGCCUCACAAUCCAGUCUAGCAUGUACACAGGCUUGCAGGCUAGUCAGACUACAUAUGGCUGAUGUCACAAUGCCAAAUGACGUAACAGAAUUAAUAAUUUUACCUGUAAACGUAUAAUAUACACCGUUUCCCUUCUGAUCUCUAAAUCAAAUAAACACAUAGAUUUUAUUAGCAAAAAUAUAUCUAGCGCUGUUAACUUUUUGUACUGGGUUUUUAACCCAAAGCAUUACAAAAAUCUAGUGAUUUACAUCCUCCCAGACACUAAGGGGAAUUCUGACAAAAUCAGAAACUGUAAGAGUAAAACCAAGAAGAGAAACACAGGAAAAAAAACAUUCUCUGUGGCUACACAAUUUAUGGUAAGUUUGGUGAGUGGAAGAGCACGCUCAUAAUCCAUCCGCCUACCGUCAGAACUUCAAGGUGGGACAUUGUUUUCACACUUUAGUGCCAGGAUGACCUAAUAGGUCUUGCCACCCUAUCGUAUCUUUAAUUGUCAAUCCAAGUGCACACAUAUAUUCCUAGAUGUCUUGUUAGACGUCUGUGACUAAUGGAAAGAGGAUCUAAGUCUCACCCACCUUCUUUAGCACAUGGAAGAGCAAUGAAGAGUUAACACAGAAAAGACACGCUGGAAAGAGACUCAGGAAAUAGAAGUUACUUCGGAGACACAUGCUGGCGAACAAAGAUACCCCACAAACUCCUUAAAAGGGUAGAAGCCAAACGAAGGGGAAACCUGCCAUUAUCUGCAAAAAAUAACUGUUCUGCCCUAGAUUAAAAAUGCCUCGUGGCCAAGAACCCUGAUUUCAGAUCCAGAUUUAGCUCAUUAUCUGUCCAGGGAACCACGAUUCACUGAGCAUCCUUCCUUUUAAAGGAUCAACUCUCAGUGCCUAUUUUUUUUUAAAUUUCCUUUGUACGGCACUUAAGGAAAAGCCCUACAAGACGGGCACACAGACCCCUUCCUUCCGUUUCUGUCUGGGAGCAGAGAAGGGGCACUCCCCCACCGCCAGGAAACUUUUCUUUAGCAAAUAACUUGGAUUGCAGUGAAGGACAGUUGCAAUAGCAGCAGAAUCUUGAAUCAUACAAAUAAUGAACAUCUCUUUCAUGGCACUCAGCCAUACCAUCUCAGGAUCUCAUCUCAGCAGCCAAGCAGGGUUAGACAAUAAGCAAAACUUAAAUAUGGGAAACCUUCGAGAAAAAAAUCCAACAAUUUGUUGAAUAAAAGACUUCAGAUGUACAGAAGAAGUGUAAGGAUUGAACAGUAUGCAGUAAACAUGACGUGGGAUCAUACACUGAAUGAGGAGCACUGAAUGAAGCAGUUAUCCUGUGGAAAAGUAGUAUGUGAUCAUGUAAUUAAAGACUCUUGUAGUGCUUAUGCAUAAGGGUAAUAAAUUAAGC
Non-coding RNA from Pelodiscus sinensis (Chinese soft-shelled turtle), 1979 nucleotides. The record is from RefSeq and is a predicted model, not a curated record. Lineage: Eukaryota; Metazoa; Chordata; Testudines; Trionychidae.